RNAcentral lists this ribosomal RNA (533 nucleotides) under uncultured Alphaproteobacteria bacterium. RNAcentral's name for it is "partial 16S ribosomal RNA". The record is from RNAcentral. Lineage: Bacteria; Pseudomonadati; Pseudomonadota; Alphaproteobacteria.
CCAUAUGGUCGACCUGCAGGCGGCCGCGAAUUCACUAGUGAUUUACCGCGGCUGCUGGCACGGAGUUAGCCGGAGCUUAUUCUCCCGGUACUGUCAUUAUCAUCCCGGGUAAAAGAGCUUUACAACCCUAAGGCCUUCAUCACUCACGCGGCAUUGCUGGAUCAGGCUUUCGCCCAUUGUCCAAUAUUCCCCACUGCUGCCUCCCGUAGGAGUCUGGGCCGUGUCUCAGUCCCAGUGUGGCUGAUCAUCCUCUCAGACCAGCUAAGGAUCGUCGCCUUGGUGCGCCUUUACCACACCAACUAGCUAAUCCUACGCGGGCUCAUCCUCAGGCGAUAAAUCUUUGGACUUAACGUCAUCAUCCGGUAUUAGCCAUCGUUUCCAAUGGUUAUUCCGAACCUGAGGGCAGAUUCCCACGCGUUACGCACCCGUGCGCCACUAGACCCGAAGAUCUCGUUCGACUUGCAUGUGUUAGGCAUGCCGCCAGCGUUCGUUCUGAGCCAGGAUCAAACUCUAAUCGAAUUCCCGCGGCCGCC